This 1205-nucleotide ribosomal RNA is filed under the name Vibrio parahaemolyticus. RNAcentral's name for it is "partial 23S ribosomal RNA". It matches the Rfam family "Bacterial large subunit ribosomal RNA", at positions 1629 to 2816 of the family's 2925-position model. The record is from RNAcentral. Lineage: Bacteria; Pseudomonadati; Pseudomonadota; Gammaproteobacteria; Vibrionales; Vibrionaceae.
AGAUUGUAAGGAAUCGUACCCCAAACCGACACAGGUGGUCGGGUAGAGAAUACCAAGGCGCUUGAGAGAACUCGGGUGAAGGAACUAGGCAAAAUGGUACCGUAACUUCGGGAGAAGGUACGCUCUCGACGGUGAAGUCCCUUGCGGAUGGAGCUAUUGAGAGUCGCAGAUACCAGGUGGCUGCAACUGUUUAUUAAAAACACAGCACUGUGCAAAAUCGUAAGAUGACGUAUACGGUGUGACGCCUGCCCGGUGCCGGAAGGUUAAUUGAUGGGGUUAGACUUCGGUCGAAGCUCUUGAUCGAAGCCCCGGUAAACGGCGGCCGUAACUAUAACGGUCCUAAGGUAGCGAAAUUCCUUGUCGGGUAAGUUCCGACCUGCACGAAUGGCGUAAUGAUGGCCACGCUGUCUCCACCCGAGACUCAGUGAAAUUGAAAUCGCUGUGAAGAUGCAGUGUACCCGCGGCUAGACGGAAAGACCCCGUGAACCUUUACUACAGCUUGGCACUGAACAUUGACCCUACAUGUGUAGGAUAGGUGGGAGGCUUUGAAGCACGUACGCCAGUAUGUGUGGAGCCGUCCUUGAAAUACCACCCUUGUAGUGUUGAUGUUCUAACGUUGACCCCUUAUCGGGGUUGCGGACAGUGCCUGGUGGGUAGUUUGACUGGGGCGGUCUCCUCCCAAAGAGUAACGGAGGAGCACGAAGGUGGGCUAAUCACGGUUGGACAUCGUGAGGUUAGUGCAAUGGCAUAAGCCCGCUUGACUGCGAGAAUGACAAUUCGAGCAGGUGCGAAAGCAGGUCAUAGUGAUCCGGUGGUUCUGAAUGGAAGGGCCAUCGCUCAACGGAUAAAAGGUACUCCGGGGAUAACAGGCUGAUACCGCCCAAGAGUUCAUAUCGACGGCGGUGUUUGGCACCUCGAUGUCGGCUCAUCACAUCCUGGGGCUGAAGUCGGUCCCAAGGGUAUGGCUGUUCGCCAUUUAAAGUGGUACGCGAGCUGGGUUUAGAACGUCGUGAGACAGUUCGGUCCCUAUCUGCCGUGGGCGUUGGAAGAUUGAAGGGGGCUGCUCCUAGUACGAGAGGACCGGAGUGGACGAACCUCUGGUGUUCGGGUUGUGUCGCCAGACGCAUUGCCCGGUAGCUAAGUUCGGAAUCGAUAACCGCUGAAAGCAUCUAAGCGGGAAGCGAGCCCUGAGAUGAGUCUUCCCU